CUUGACCGUGCCCAGCAGCAGCGGCGCCUCGCGGUCCUGGCCGUAGGUCGCCAGCAACGCCUGCGCCUC
Molecule: antisense RNA, 69 nt
Filed under: Actinophytocola xinjiangensis
Lineage: Bacteria; Bacillati; Actinomycetota; Actinomycetes; Pseudonocardiales; Pseudonocardiaceae
Description: Actinophytocola sp. QAIII60 ASpks TB sRNA
Rfam family: ASpks TB sRNA
Source: Rfam by way of RNAcentral